This is a long non-coding RNA of Astatotilapia calliptera (eastern happy), 919 nucleotides long. Lineage: Eukaryota; Metazoa; Chordata; Actinopteri; Cichliformes; Cichlidae. The record is from Ensembl.
AUCAGCAUUUAUUAAAUAAUCAUGGUCCAUAAAUAAAAGAAAACAAUGUUGUUUUUGUGCAUAACAAAAAGCUCACAAUUGUGCAGUCAAAAUGUAAACUAAUAGACGCUGAGCAUAAUAACAAAGAGACAGAUUUCACAGCUGCACCACGUCUCUGAACAGGUGCCAUUUGUGGUCCUUAUACACACACAGUACGUAUCACUCCGCGAGGCUCCUCCUCGGUAGCCGUAAUCCUCCGACAAUCCAUCAAGUGGUGCAGCCGUGCAGCCCCUCCUGGCUGCAUGUCGUUAGCGCGGUUAGCUCGUUAGCGCGGUUAGCUCGCUAACACGUUGACGCCGUCCAGCCCCACGCACGGUAACUCGCUAACGGAGAUUUUCCGCUUUCAUCUUGUCAUUGCCUGCAGGUGAAGCUAUGGGGGAGGGGGAGUUGUGUUCAGUGAAGGAGAGGCGAGGCCGAGUAACGUUGCGUAGAGGCAAAAGUGGACGAAAGAGAGGCAAACCUGCGGCUCCACAAUGUUGAUGCUACCAGAGAGGACGGCUCACUUGGCAGACUUGUAAAUGACGAUAAUGUGAAUCCAAACAGUAAAAUGACAGUUACCAGAGUGGAUGGAAGGCCCCAUCUGUUUGUUUGCAAUCAAAGAUAUUUGUCCAGGAGAAGAAAUCACCUAUAACUAUGGUGAUUCCAACUGGCCAUGGAGAAGCAAGAAAUCCAACAUGGUGCCAUCUCAGGCUGUGGAUGAGAAUGCAGCCAGUUCCUCUCCUAACGACACAACAAAGAAAUCCAACAUGGUGCCAUCUCAGGCUGUGGAUGAGAAUGCAGCCAGUUCCUCUCCUAACGACGCAACAAAGUUUGCUACCAGUCCUGGCACAAAAGAUGUUAUGUUAGCCACAAGGUGAACCUCACUGAACCUCUUCCAGAG